Molecule: transfer RNA, 71 nt
Filed under: Bacteroidales bacterium
Lineage: Bacteria; Pseudomonadati; Bacteroidota; Bacteroidia; Bacteroidales
Description: tRNA-Cys
Rfam family: tRNA
About the family: Transfer RNA (tRNA) molecules are approximately 80 nucleotides in length.
Source: RNAcentral
GGUCGGUUGACUGAGUGGCUAAGUUACGGCCGGCAAAGCCGUUUAGGGUGGUUCGAAUCCAUCACCGACCU